AACAACUGGAAACGGUUGCUAAUACCCCAUAUGCUUUCGAGUGAAAUGGAUUUCCGCCUAAAGAGAAGCUUGCGGCUGAUUAGCUUGUUGGUGAGGUAAUAGCUCACCAAGGCGACGAUCAGUAUCUGGUUUGAGAGGACGAUCAGACACACUGGAACUGAGACACGGUCCAGACUCCUACGGGAGGCAGCAGUGGGGAAUUUUCCGCAAUGGGCGAAAGCCUGACGGAGCAAUACCGCGUGAGGGAUGACGGCCUAUGGGUUGUAAACCUCUUUUUUCAGGGAGGAAUCAAUGACGUGUACCUGAAGAAUAAGCAUCGGCUAACUCCGUGCCAGCAGCCGCGGUAAGACGGAGGAUGCAAGUGUUAUCCGGAAUCACUGGGCGUAAAGCGUCUGUAGGUGGUUUAAUAAGUCAACUGUUAAAUCUUGAGGCUCAACCUCAAAAUCGCAAUCGAAACUAUUAGACUAGAGUAUAGUAGGGGUAAAGGGAAUUUCCAGUGGAGCGGUGAAAUGCGUAGAUAUUGGAAGGAACACCGAUGGCGAAAGCACUUUACUGGGCUAUUACUAACACUCAGAGACGAAAGCUAGGU
This 589-nucleotide ribosomal RNA is filed under the name Amphora delicatissima. RNAcentral's name for it is "bacterial SSU rRNA". It matches the Rfam family "Bacterial small subunit ribosomal RNA", at positions 145 to 765 of the family's 1533-position model. The record is from RNAcentral. Lineage: Eukaryota; Bacillariophyta; Bacillariophyceae; Surirellales; Surirellaceae.